UACGUAGGGUGCGAGCGUUAAUCGGAAUUACUGGGCGUAAAGCGUGCGCAGGCGGUUCGUUAUGUCUGAUGUGAAAGCCCCGGGCUCAACCUGGGAACUGCAUUGGAAACUAGCGGGCUGGAGUGUGGCAGAGGGGGGUGGAAUUCCACGUGUAGCAGUGAAAUGCGUAGAGAUGUGGAGGAACACCGAUGGCGAAGGCAGCCCCCUGGGCUAACACUGACGCUCAUGCACGAAAGCGUGGGGAGCAAACAGG
This 253-nucleotide ribosomal RNA is filed under the name uncultured bacterium. RNAcentral describes it as "partial 16S ribosomal RNA". It matches the Rfam family "Bacterial small subunit ribosomal RNA", at positions 524 to 776 of the family's 1533-position model. The record is from RNAcentral.